GUAAUAAAUUGCUCGUUAAUUUCGGGCCAGAAUGAAAAGGCCAACCCUGUCUAAUUUCUUUGGGGAAGAAUAUGAAAUUAAAGGAAUAAAAAAAAAUUUCCUAAUUUGCAAGACGAGAAGACCCUAGAAGCUAACCAUAAAAGGUUUUUUGGGGAAAAAUUCUAAUAAUAUUUUUAGAAACAUAUAAAUUAAGAACUUAAAAAUAAGCUACUUUAGGGAUAACAGAACAAUAAAAUUGAAAAGACCAAAUAAAAAAUUUAGUUUGUGACCUCGAUGUUGGAUUCCUUUGUCGAAAUCUCGCAGCAGAGUUAGGCGAUUAGACUGUUCGUCUUUUUAACAAGG
RNAcentral lists this ribosomal RNA (342 nucleotides) under Aculops sp. NJAUAcariEriH82. RNAcentral describes it as "partial 16S ribosomal RNA". Lineage: Eukaryota; Metazoa; Arthropoda; Arachnida; Trombidiformes; Eriophyidae. The record is from RNAcentral.